UCCCGCGACGUGCGCAACCCUUUCCCUCAUGUGCCAGCGGGUUGAGCCGGGAACUUUAAGGAUACUGCGAGUGACAAACUGGAGGAAGGCGGGGGCGACGUCAAGUCAUCAUGGCCCUUACGACCAGGGCUACACACGUGCUACAAUGGCGCAUACAAAGAGAAGCGACCUCGCGAGAGCAAGCGGACCUCAUAAAGUGCGUCGUAGUCCGGAUUGGAGUCUGCAACUCGACUCCAUGAAGUCGGAAU
RNAcentral lists this ribosomal RNA (248 nucleotides) under Mycobacterium tuberculosis. RNAcentral describes it as "partial 16S ribosomal RNA". It matches the Rfam family "Bacterial small subunit ribosomal RNA", at positions 1085 to 1332 of the family's 1533-position model. Lineage: Bacteria; Bacillati; Actinomycetota; Actinomycetes; Mycobacteriales; Mycobacteriaceae. The record is from RNAcentral.